GAGACCUCAGGUCAGGCGGGGCUACCCGCUGAGUUUAA
Molecule: ribosomal RNA, 38 nt
Filed under: Wisteria frutescens
Lineage: Eukaryota; Viridiplantae; Streptophyta; Magnoliopsida; Fabales; Fabaceae
Also listed under: 14 other names
Description: partial 26S ribosomal RNA
Source: RNAcentral